AUAAUAGUCACUAGGUCUCCGUUUCUCAAAGUGUGUUCCUCAGACCAGCCACUCUACUGAGAACUUGAAAGUGGUAUCACUUUCACUCCUCAUAGUUGGGUAGCAUCACCCACAUUUACUAAUGAGGGACAGAGAUUAGAGGGGUAAAGUGUUCAGCUUGUGAGGUUCCAGAGUUGCUGAUAGAAGCACAAGAAUUAAAAUACAGGUCUGUUUUACUCCAAAGCGUUUCGUCCCCACCAAACAAGGCUGCCUGCCAAUUAAUAUGAUGCUGGUAAAAAAAUAAUUUAAUUUAUGUACUGCUAAAGCAAGCCCCCAAAAAUAAUGUUGUAAAUAGUAUAGAGCUAUGUAAUAAAAACAUGAUUAUUAAAUAUAGCAUGACUUUCUCCUCUGCUUCUGAAUACCAGGAAGCUCCAGAGAUUUACAUGUUCUAUUAGCACAACCUUAAAUCACAGUUAUCUUUUUUUAAGUAGGUUCCAAUCCAAGCCCAGUGUGGACCCCACUGUGGGGUGCAAAUUCAUAAUCCUGAGAUCAAGACCCGAGCCAAAAUCAAGAGCUGGAUCUGAACUGACUGAGCCACCCAGGCACCUCUUAAGUCAUAGUAUUUGCAGAGCAGAAAGAGGGAAACCAAAUUGCAUCACGGAUGUGCUGGAGCUGAGGAGGAAGGCAAGUCUAAUAAAGAACUCAGAGGAGGCUUCUGUGUGAGUUCACGUGCCGGCUCCACUCAAGCCCCUUCAUGUAUCGCUCCUGUCACCACUCCUGUCACACAGGCAUUGCCAGCUGUUCGAAAGUGCACAUCACACCACUUUUACGGAAGAGCUAUGUUAAGUACCGGUUUUUGCUAAUCGAAGGUAACUGAGAGGGGAUUUUUGCUUUUAGGAAAAAAAAGGUGAAAGGUGAAAAUAGUGUUCGGCAUUUGUUUUGCACUGAGGCGUGUAGCAGCAGCAUGCACCUAGCAGCGAGAGGGCCCACCAGGCUCCUUCCCUGGGAGCUACCUCUCUGUAUCAAGCCGCCUCGCUUUCAACGGUGUCUGUGAGCAUCUGUGCUUUAUCUUGAUCUAUUUUGUGCAUCUGUCAGCAAGAUGUGUUCUCAGGUGUCAGAAAAGCCCAAGAGAAGUUAUGUUUUUGGUCUGGGAAUGCUCAAUAAAUUUACCAUGUAAAUUAAUGGUAAUAGCUUC
This 1174-nucleotide long non-coding RNA is filed under the name Vulpes vulpes (red fox). Its description in RNAcentral is "lncRNA (ENSVVUG00000000669.1)". The record is from RNAcentral. Lineage: Eukaryota; Metazoa; Chordata; Mammalia; Carnivora; Canidae.